This 254-nucleotide ribosomal RNA is filed under the name uncultured bacterium. RNAcentral describes it as "partial 16S ribosomal RNA". It matches the Rfam family "Bacterial small subunit ribosomal RNA", at positions 524 to 776 of the family's 1533-position model. The record is from RNAcentral.
UACGUAGGGGGCGAGCGUUACCCGGAUUUACUGGGCGUAAAGCGCGUGUAGGCGGCUGGUCAAGCGUGGUGUGAAAUCUCCGGGCUCAACCCGGAAACUGCAUUGCGAACUGACCUAGCUGGAGUGCAGGAGAGGGCAGCGGAAUUCCCGGUGUAGCGGUGAAAUGCGUAGAUAUCAGGAGGAACACCUGUGGUGUAGACAGCUUACUGGACCACUUCUGACGCUGAGACACGAAAGCGUGGGUAGCAAACAGG